CCCUUAUACCCUGGGCUACACACGUGUUACAAUGGGAUGUACAGAGCGUUGCCAAACCGCGAGGUGGAGCUAAUCGCAAAAGCAUCCCCAGUUCAGAUUGGAGUCUGCAACCCGACUCCAUGAAGUUGGAAUUGCUAGUAACGGCGGAUCAGCUACGCCGCCGUGAGUACGUUCCCGGGCCUU
Molecule: ribosomal RNA, 183 nt
Filed under: uncultured Omnitrophica bacterium
Lineage: Bacteria; Pseudomonadati; Candidatus Omnitrophota
Description: partial 16S ribosomal RNA
Rfam family: Bacterial small subunit ribosomal RNA
Source: RNAcentral